This 226-nucleotide long non-coding RNA is filed under the name Carica papaya (papaya). Its description in RNAcentral is "long non-coding RNA (CPAP_LNC014845)". The record is from RNAcentral. Lineage: Eukaryota; Viridiplantae; Streptophyta; Magnoliopsida; Brassicales; Caricaceae.
GCACGCCGUCGUGCUAGAAUCCUAAACCAGCCGAAAAAUUCUAAAACCCUAAUUUUUAGCCCUUUUUGGGUAUUUCGGGAUAUAUGACGCGUGUUUUCAGUUUUUGCAAAAAAAAUCUAAGAAAUCUAGUAACAGCCAGAAAGUGCAGUGGAAAAUGCAAUAUUUCCAACGCUGGUCCGAUGUAAUAAUCCCUCACCAUUUACUCUAUUAUGGUGAAUUGAAGUUA